This 1437-nucleotide ribosomal RNA is filed under the name Triticum aestivum (bread wheat). RNAcentral describes it as "partial small subunit ribosomal RNA". Lineage: Eukaryota; Viridiplantae; Streptophyta; Magnoliopsida; Poales; Poaceae. The record is from RNAcentral.
AUGCCGUCGCCGUCGCCGUCCAUGGUGCGCGUGGUGUCAUCGCGCACGGUGGCGCCGCCGCCGCGCCCGCGCGAGCGCAUCCCGCUAACCUCCUGGGACGCCGCCAUGCUGUCCGCCAACUACAUCCAGAAGGGCCUCCUCUUCCACAGACCCUCUUCCUCGGCAUCCGCCCUCUCCACCGCCGCCGGCGUCGUCGACCACCUCGCCGCGGCCCUCGGCGACGCGCUUGUCUACUACUACCCCGUUGCCGGCCGCUGCGCCACCGAGCAGCACAGGGACGAACUUACCGGCGCCGUCGUUGGCUGCUCCGUCCACAUCGACUGCGACGGCCAGGGCGUGGAGGUCGUGCACGCCGUAGCCGACGGCGUGGCCAUGGCGGGCAUCGUCCCGCCCGACGCCGACGUGCCGCGCGACGUGCUGGCGCAGUUCUUCCAGCUCACCGACGCCGUCAACUACGGCGGCCGCGAGCAGCCGCUGCUCGCCGUCCAGGUGACCGACCUCGCCGACGGGGUGUUCGUCGGGUUCGCCUACAACCACGCGCUCUCCGACGGCACCGCCUUCUGGGACCUCGUCAACAGCUGGGCGGCCCUCGCGCGCGCCAGACUCGGCCUCGCCCCGGCGCCCCCGACGCCGAAGCCCUCGUUCGAGCGCUGGUCGCCGGACGGCGGCGCGGCGGGGCCGGCCGUGCUGCCGUGCGCCGACGUGUCGGAGCUCGUCGAGCGGGCGCCCCCGCUGGCGUUGCGCGAGCGGAUGCUGCACUUCUCGGCGGACUCGCUGGCGGCGCUCAAGGAGCGCGCGCGGGAGGAGCUCCUGGCCGCUGGGGACGCAGCCGGCGCCGCCGCCCUGACGCGGUUCCAGGCGCUGUCCUCGCUCUUCUGGCGCUGCAUCACCCGUGCGCGGCGGCUGGCGCCGGAGCAGGAGACCGUGUGCCGCGCCUCCAUCAACAACCGCGGGCGGCUGCGGCCGGAGCUGCCCAGGGAGUACUUCGGCAACACCAUCUACGCCAUCGGGACGGAGCCGGCGCGCGCCGCGGACCUCCUCGAGCGCGGGCACGGGUGGGCGACGGCGGCCGUGGGGCGGGCCGUGGCGGCGCACACGGACGCGGCCAUCAGGGCGCGCGUGGCGGCGUGGACGGCCAAGCCCAUGGUGUACACGCAUCGCUUCUUCGACCCGACCGAGACCUUGAUGGGCAGCUCGCCGCGGUUUGACAUGUACGGCUGCGACUUCGGCUGGGGGAGGCCCGUGGCGGCGCGCAGCGGCCGGGCCAACAAGUUCGACGGCAAGACGUCGCUGUACCCCGGCCGGGAGGGCGGCGGGAGCAUCGACGCAGAGCUCACGCUCACGCCGGAGAACAUGGCGGCGCUCGAGGAGAUUGAGGAGUUAUGGGCUGCCGUGACCCCGGACACGCCGGUGCUGGCGCCGGAGAAGAAGCCUUGA